AUAGGCGGCGAUAGCGCGGUGGUCCCACCUGACCCCAUGCCGAACUCAGAAGUGAAACGCCGUAGCGCCGAUGGUAGUGUGGGGCUUCCCCAUGUGAGAGUAGGGAACUGCCAGGC
Molecule: ribosomal RNA, 116 nt
Filed under: Pectobacterium carotovorum subsp. carotovorum ICMP 5702
Lineage: Bacteria; Pseudomonadati; Pseudomonadota; Gammaproteobacteria; Enterobacterales; Pectobacteriaceae
Source: RNAcentral